AUUAAUUAUGUAGAUAACUGGCGACUGCGAAUGCACGGUGCCCCAAAAGAAAUCCAAAAUCCGAGUCGAAACCAAACCAGUUGCCCCCAAACCAAAUCAUAUGCAGAACUGGUGACCCAAACACACAUAGUACGACUCCCUGGUAGUAGUACACAGAAAUAAAUGGAAUCGGAAACCAAAAUCGUUUAGGUGUCGGACAUUUUUGUGGCAAUGCGGCACGUCAGAUUCGAAAGUUCAGCGACCAGAAUCCGGAGGUGUUGCACCCAAAGUCCACACACGGAUUGCCAAAUCAUGAUUUCCCAAAUGCCAGUUCAAUUGCAG
Drosophila melanogaster (fruit fly) is the source of this 321-nucleotide non-coding RNA. Lineage: Eukaryota; Metazoa; Arthropoda; Insecta; Diptera; Drosophilidae. The record is from Ensembl.